RNAcentral lists this ribosomal RNA (2049 nucleotides) under Triticum aestivum (bread wheat). RNAcentral's name for it is "partial small subunit ribosomal RNA". The record is from RNAcentral. Lineage: Eukaryota; Viridiplantae; Streptophyta; Magnoliopsida; Poales; Poaceae.
AUGCUCCCGCUCCUCCUGGCCGCCGUCUCCAUCCUCGCCGCCGCCGCGGCAUCCGCCCAUCAUCCCCACCCGCUCGACCCCCUCUCCCCCGCGGAGCUCACCGCCGUGCGCGCGGCCGUGCUCGCCUCGCCGCUGGUCCCGGCGCGCCCGCUCACCUUCCACUACGUCGGCCUCGACGAGCCCGACAAGCCCGACGUCCUAUCCUACGUCUACGGCAACUCCGCUUCCUCGUCCCGCUCCGCCAUGCCGCGCCGCGCCUUCGUCAUCGCGCGCGCCGGCGGCCAGUCCCACGAGCUCCGCGUCGACGUCACCGACGCCGCCGCGCCGUCCGUCCUCGGUCACGCCGUCCACCGCGGGGCCGGCUUCCCGACGCUCACGCUGGACGAGCAGUUCGCGGCGGUGGCGCUGCCGCCCGCGCACCCGCCGUUCGUGGAGUCCGUGCGCCGCCGCGGCGUGGAUAUGGCCGACGUCCUCUGCGCCGUGUUCCCCGUCGGGUGGUUCGGGGACCUCCCGGCGGAGGAGCGGAGGGUGGUGAAGCUGCUGUGCUUCGUGGCCGGGGCGACAGCCAACUUCUACGCGCGGCCGCUGGAGGGCGUCACGCUCGUGGUGGACCUCGACCGGAUGGCCAUCGUCGGGUACAGGGACAGGGUGCUGCUCCCGGUGCCCAAGGCCGAGGGGACGGACUACCGGGCAGGAAACGCCGGGGCGCCGUACGCCGGCCGCGCGCCGGCGCCCGGCACGGUGGUGCAGCCGGAGGGCAGGGGCUUCGACAUUGACGGCCACUUCGUCAGGUGGGCCAACUGGGAGUUCCACGUGGGCUUUGACGUGCGCGCCGGCACGGUCAUCUCGCUGGCCUCGAUCCACGACGCCGAGGCCGGCGCGCGGCGGCGGGUGCUCUACCGCGGGUUCGUGUCGGAGGUCUUCGUGCCGUACAUGGACCCGGCGGAGGAGUGGUACUACCGCACGUUCCUGGACGCCGGCGAGUACGGCCUGGGGCUCUGGGCCUUCCCGCUCCAGCCCGGCGCCGACUGCCCGGCCAACGCGGCGUACCUGGACGGCUACUACGCCGGCCAGGACGGCAAGCCCGUCGAGAACAAGAACAUGAUCUGCGUCUUCGAGCGGUACGCCGGCGACGUCGCGUGGCGCCAUAGCGAGGCCGGCUUCCCCGACCGACUGAUCACGGAGGUCCGGCCUGACGUGAGCUUGGUUGUGAGGAUGGUGGUGUCGUGUGGGAACUACGAUUACAUUUUGGACUGGGAGUUCAAGACCAGCGGCUCCAUCAAAUUCACGGUGUCUCUGACCGGCCUCCUGGAGGUGAAGGGGACGGCCUACACGCACGCCGACCAGAUCAUGGAGGACGCGCACGGCACGCUGGUGGCGGAGAAUACCCUCGCCGUCUACCACGACCACUACGUCACGUACCACCUGGACCUCGACGUCGACGGCACCAACAACUCCUUCGUCAAGAACACCAUCGCCACCAAGCGCAACGAGGCCGGCACGCCGAGGAGGAGCUACUGGACGGUGCGCCGGGAGGUGGCCGAGACCGAGGCGGACGCGCAGGUGGACGUGAACGCCGCGCCGGCCGACCUGCUGGUCGUCAACCCCAACAAGCGGACCCGGAUGGGCAACGAGGUCGGGUACCGGGUCGUCCCCGGCGGCGCGACGGCGGCGUCGGUGCUGGACGACGACGACUACCCGCAGAGGCGCGCCAGCUACUGCAAGAAGCAGGUGCGGGUGACGCCGUACAGCAAGGCGGAGAAGUGGGCGCCCGGUCUGUACGCCGACCAGAGCACCGGCGACGACGGCCUGGCCGCCUGGAGCGAGAGGGACAGGGGGAUAAGGAACGAGGACAUCGUGCUGUGGUACACGGUGGGCAUCCACCACAUCCCGUACCAGGAUGACUUCCCGGUCAUGCCCACCGUGAGCGGCGGGUUCGAGCUCCGGCCGGCCAACUUCUUCGAGAGGAACCCGUUGCUCACAACGAGACCGCCCGGGCUUGACCAGCCGCCUCUCGUGAACUGCUCGUGCACCGGUGAUUCCAGAUGA